UGGGGAAUAUUGCACAAUGGGCGCAAGCCUGAUGCAGCCAUGCCGCGUGUAUGAAGAAGGCCUUCGGGUUGUAAAGUACUUUCAGCGGGGAGGAAGGUGUUGUGGUUAAUAACCACAGCAAUUGACGUUACCCGCAGAAGAAGCACCGGCUAACUCCGUGCCAGCAGCCGCGGUAAUACGGAGGGUGCAAGCGUUAAUCGGAAUUACUGGGCGUAAAGCGCACGCAGGCGGUCUGUCAAGUCGGAUGUGAAAUCCCCGGGCUCAACCUGGGAACUGCAUUCGAAACUGGCAGGCUAGAGUCUUGUAGAGGGGGGUAGAACUCCAGGUGUAGCGGUGAAAUGCGUAGAGAUCUGGAGGAAUACCGGUGGCGAAGGCGGCCCCCUGGACAAAGACUGACGCUCAGGUGCGAAAGCGUGGGGAGCAAACA
RNAcentral lists this ribosomal RNA (427 nucleotides) under uncultured bacterium. RNAcentral describes it as "partial 16S ribosomal RNA". It matches the Rfam family "Bacterial small subunit ribosomal RNA", at positions 355 to 774 of the family's 1533-position model. The record is from RNAcentral.